Long non-coding RNA from Leopardus geoffroyi (Geoffroy's cat), 3236 nucleotides. RefSeq lists it as uncharacterized. Lineage: Eukaryota; Metazoa; Chordata; Mammalia; Carnivora; Felidae. The transcript is spliced from 6 exons. The record is from RefSeq and is a predicted model, not a curated record.
UUAGUUGUAUAUGACAGUUGCUGAGUUUACAUUAACAUUUGUGAUUCUAAUGAUAAAUUUAUUCAUAUUGUUAAUACUUAUACUGUAUAGGGCACCUGGGUGGCUCAGUCGUUAAGUAUCUGACUUCAGUUCAAGUCAUGACCUCAUGCUGGGUUUGAGUCCCACUUCGGGUGAGCUCGAGCCCCACUUCCGAUCAGACAAAGAGGCAACACAGAGAAUUUAAGUGAAUUGUCCAGCAUCACAGAGCAGAGCCAAGGGAUGCCAGAUUCUCAAAUAAGAAGAUGGCAGUCAGUCUCACAUCAUCCUGCUCCUGUGACGACAGAUGCAUGUCAUGGACUGAGAAACAUUAUGUUGACCACAAAACUCAUAGGUGAUUAUUGGAGGCUCAGAUCCAAGAGAAUUAUCAUCACUGGACCAACAACAGCCUGGGGAACCUAACAAACAGAAGAUACAUCAUUGGAAGAUACAGCAUUGAGUGAGAGCCAAGAAAGCAGUUUUGAGGACAAGAUGAGAAUUAAAAAGUAAUGUUGAUAACAUUGGAGAAGGUAGCUGGAAACAAGCAGAAAGCUGCUGUCAAAGGAAACUAAAAAAUACAAAACUGGAGAAUUAUUGACUGUGGGUAUAUAUUACAGACUAAAAUCCAGAGGUCUAUACAGUUAACGGAUUGUCAAAGAGUCAGGAGGAAAGGGCAAGAGUUAAAAAAAAAAAAAUUGGAGUGGAUAAAUAAAAAAAUCAGACCUGAGAGGUAAUUUUUCUUCAGGUUGUAUUCAAUACUCUGCAGGCCACAUCUAGAGAUACAACAUAGUCACUGGCUUGUAAAAUAUUUAAGGAGCUGAAAAAUUAGGUUUAUUAUGAAUAAUGAAGGAAAUGAAGACUUUUCAGUCUGGAGACUAGAAGGUAGAAAGGUAAUUUAAUCAAGCCUUAAUGUUUAAGAGGAGGAAACCAGCAGUUUUCCAUCUCCUCUGACAACAAACAUGAGGAAACAGUUUUCGAUUAUAAAAAACAGAUAUAAGUUGGAGGUGAAAGAGAUUUUACACUGAUGACGGUGAAUAAGCCAAAAAUAAUAAUAAAAUCUAGUUUUCUGGAAGGUAUAAAGGAAAAUGACUUUCCUCUGUUCUAGGGUCACCAACUGAUCUUUUUUGAAAUUUAUUUCUAGGCUAUUGACUAGAUUGGGGGUUGGCAAGUUCUUUCUGUAAAGGGCCAGACAGUAACUAAUUUAGACUUUGGGGGCCAUAUGGUUUCUGUAACAGCUAAUCAACUCUGCAGAUGAAGUGUGAAAGCAACCGUAGACAAUAUGUAACCGGUGAGCGUGGCUGUGCUCCGAAUAAAACCUAAUUUAUGAAAAGAUGCUCGGGGCGGGAUUUGGCCCACCGGCUAUAGUUUAUACUGACUCCUCGAUGAAGUGAACCACACAAGCAUUUUGAACCUUUGAAUCUUGAUGUGGAAAAGAGUGUUGGAGAUGACAAGGUCUUUACUGGGGCCUUUGUUCUGUGUUGAGUUCUGCGGUAAUUUUUGGGAAUGACCCAGGACAGAGAGGAAAGCUGUGAAAGGGAAUAUACGUGAGGGUAUUGCCCUUAUGGGCAAGUGGAGCUCAAUCCUUGUGAUGGGUGAGGAAGCCGGGAAGUUUAUUUGCAAACUUUUGUUUCUUAUUGUUUAUUUCCUGUUUGUUCUCAUUUGUCUGGCCCACCCUGCUCAGAGCAAGCCUGAUUCCCAGGCCAGAGAGUACCCUCAGGCUGAGAGAGAGGCAAGAAGCCAGCAGCCUGCAUAAGAACUGUACAAGUGACCUCUGCGCAGGUGACCUGUGUGCGGGUGACCACAGGGGAGGGCCAAGGAAUAUGGAUGGGACACCAGCAUUUCCUGCUACCGGCACCACCUGAAUCUCUUUCUGUUCACUCACUCCUGGGAGGGCAGAAUUCUGAACAGACUCACUUACGUCUUCAAAGAAGGUACUGUAUUUCUGGCGGCGGCUGAAUCUCUGUACUACCAAAGCUCUCCUGAAGGGCCCUCUUCUGUGGUUCCAGCUCCCACUGAACUGCUGACCCUAAGAGAAAUGCCCCCAAGGGGACCCAGAGAGCCUGCUGGGCAGUGACAUGACUGUUCUCUCUUGCCUCAGAGAAGAAAGCUGUGCCGGUUAUCCGGUAGUUCUCCGAGGAGGAGGUGAGAGAUGCAAACAGUUGCUCCAUGAUGUCUAGUAUGACUCCAUGUUGCCACAGCACCAUGCUCCUAGAAAAUGCAAGGCUCCAAUUGUAGCAGAGACUUUUUUCUUUCUAAACAAUGGAGGAGAUUUUAGUCUAUUUCUCUCUCAAGGAAAUAAAUGAUCUCAAAAGAAAUGUUCCAUGAAAGAGCACUAAGGAUUUGGGCUCUUCCCACCAUCCCUUCCCAUCUGCCUUUGCUCUUUCUUCCCUCUUUUUUCUCCUGGACUACAGAUCCUUGGUGAGUCCGUUGGUUCCAGUAAAGUUGCCUACAUGGCAGUUUUUACUCUGUUUUUAAUUUUUCUCCUUUGUAUCCACUUCUCGAAUGUCCACACAUUACCUGGCCAGUGCACAUACUCCUACAUGGUGGGUACUGGGGCUGCUGAGAAGGGUCCAUAAGUUGUCCCCCUCAUCAGAUUCCUUGGCAAGGCCCUCUUUCAUGGCUUGGGCUUGCACACACUUCAGAGUUGUGAUUGAGAGCCUGAAGGAGACAGUGGGCACCACAAAAGUAAGUCAACCCCAUACAGGGAGUUGUGAAUCCCAAGUUCACUCUUUCUGUUCCCCACGAGGCUGCUUCACCCUGGAUUAAUGGAUGUUGUGUGAGGGAAAAAACCAGACAGCCUGAUCUCACACUUCAGUUUUGGGGCCAAAGGGGACACUGAGGUGAUUUGGACCAGUAAAUAAUGCCACAAAAUUUUGUUAACCUCUCAUGAGAAAAUAAAGCCCUAAAGAUGGAAAGUGCCAAAUACUAUAUUUCACUGAUUCUGAAACAGCCCUUCAGAAGCAGGAUGCGGCUUGCAAUGGAUAGCGUGUUAUGACAGUUGGCCAGACACUGGUUGUGGUGUAGUUGUUAUUACCAGUGCGUGCACACGAACAUGUAUGGAUUUAGGCACGGUUGUUUAUACUGUUGUCAUUUUGGUAACAUUGUGUUAUUGGAACUACAUGUGUUGGGUCUAACCGUUGUUUAAAAUGUCUUUACAAAGUGGAUUUGAGGGGUGCCUGGGUAGCUCAGUCUGUUAAGCGUCUGACUUCAGCUCAGGUCAU